RNAcentral lists this ribosomal RNA (383 nucleotides) under uncultured bacterium. Its description in RNAcentral is "bacterial SSU rRNA". It matches the Rfam family "Bacterial small subunit ribosomal RNA", at positions 28 to 409 of the family's 1533-position model. The record is from RNAcentral.
GAUGAACGCUAGCGGCAGGUCUAAUACAUGCAAGACGAACGGUAAGUUGAGUAGCAAUACUUAGCCAAGAGUGUCGUACGGGUGCGUAACACGUAUGCAACCUACCCUAUACAGGAGGAUAGCCUAGGGAAACCUGGAUUAACCCUUCAUAGUAUUAUUGGAUGGCAUCAUUUGAUAAUUAAAACUGAGGUGGUAUAGGAUGGGCAUGCGUCUGAUUAGUUAGUUGGCGGGGUAAUGGCCCACCAAGACGAUGAUCAGUAGGGGUUCUGAGAGGAAGAUCCCCCACACUGGCACUGAGAUACGGGCCAGACUCCUACGGGAGCAGCAGUAGGGAAUAUUGGUCAAUGGAUGCAAGUCUGAACCAGCCAUGCCGCGUGCAGGAA